This 80-nucleotide ribosomal RNA is filed under the name Palythoa sp. yoron MM-2017. RNAcentral's name for it is "partial 28S ribosomal RNA". It matches the Rfam family "Eukaryotic large subunit ribosomal RNA", at positions 1 to 80 of the family's 3401-position model. Lineage: Eukaryota; Metazoa; Cnidaria; Anthozoa; Zoantharia; Sphenopidae. The record is from RNAcentral.
CGACCUCACAUCGGACGAGACUACCCGCUGAAUUUAAGCAUAUCAAUAAGCGGAGGAAAAGAAACUAACAAGGAUUCCCC